Molecule: ribosomal RNA, 433 nt
Filed under: uncultured bacterium
Lineage: Bacteria
Description: partial 16S ribosomal RNA
Rfam family: Bacterial small subunit ribosomal RNA
Source: RNAcentral
AACGAACGCUGGCGGCAUGCCUAACACAUGCAAGUCGAACGAGACCUUCGGGUCUAGUGGCGCACGGGUGCGUAACGCGUGGGAACCUGCCCUUAGGUUCGGAAUAACUCCCCGAAAGGGGUGCUAAUACCGGAUAAUGUCUUCGGACCAAAGAUUUAUCGCCUUUGGAUGGGGCCGCGUUGGAUUAGCUAGUUGGUAGGGUAAAAGCCUACCAAGGCGACGAUGCAUAGCUGGUCUGAGAGGAUGAUCAGCCACACUGGGACUGAGACACGGCCCAGACUCGGACGGGAGGGAGGGGUAGAGAAUAUUGGAGGAGGGACGAUAGCCUGAUACAGCAGUGCGGCGGAAGACAUGAAGGCCUUAGGGUUGUAAAGCUGUUUUACCCGGGAUGAGAAUGACAGUACCGGGAGAAUAAGCUCCGGCUAACUCCGUG